GGGGAAUAUUGCACAAUGGGCGCAAGCCUGAUGCAGCCAUGCCGCGUGUGUGAAGAAGGCCCUCGGGUUGUAAAGUACUUUCAGCGGGGAGGAAGGCGUUAAGGUUAAUAACCUUGGCGAUUGACGUUACCCGCAGAAGAAGCACCGGCUAACUCCGUGCCAGCAGCCGCGGUAAUACAGAGGGUGCGAGCGUUAAUCGGAAUUACUGGGCGUAAAGCGCACGCAGGCGGUUCGUUAAGUCAGAUGUGAAAUCCCCGGGCUCAACCUGGAACUGCAUCUGAUACUGGCAAGCUGGAGUCUCGUAGAGGGGGGUAGAAUUCCAGGUGUAGCGGUGAAAUGCGUAGAGAUCUGGAGGAAUACCGGUGGCGAAGGCGGCCCCCUGAACGAAGACUGACGCUCAGGUGCGAAAGCGUGGGGAGCAAAC
Molecule: ribosomal RNA, 424 nt
Filed under: uncultured bacterium
Lineage: Bacteria
Description: bacterial SSU rRNA
Rfam family: Bacterial small subunit ribosomal RNA
Source: RNAcentral